Molecule: ribosomal RNA, 467 nt
Filed under: uncultured bacterium
Lineage: Bacteria
Description: partial 16S ribosomal RNA
Rfam family: Bacterial small subunit ribosomal RNA
Source: RNAcentral
ACGAACGCUGGCGGCGUGCUUAACCCCUGCCAGUCGCACGGAAAGGCCCUGCUUUUGUGGGGUGCUCGAGUGGCGAACGGGUGAGUAACACGUGAGUAACCUGCCCUUGACUUUGGGAUAACUUCAGGAAACUGGGGCUAAUACCGGAUAGGAGCUCCUGCUGCAUGGUGGGGGUUGGAAAGUUUCGGCGGUUGGGGAUGGACUCGCGGCUUAUCAGCUUGUUGGUGGGGUAGUGGCUUACCAAGGCUUUGACGGGUAGCCGGCCUGAGAGGGUGACCGGCCACAUUGAGACUGAGAUACGGCCCAGACUCCUACGGGAGGCAGCAGUGGGGAAUAUUGCACAAUGGGCGGAAGCCUGAUGCAGCAACGCCGCGUGCGGGAUGACGGCCUUCGGGUUGUAAACCGCUUUCGCCUGUGACGAAGCGUGAGUGACGGUAAUGGGUAAAGAAGCACCGGCUAACUACGUG